Molecule: ribosomal RNA, 414 nt
Filed under: Triticum aestivum (bread wheat)
Lineage: Eukaryota; Viridiplantae; Streptophyta; Magnoliopsida; Poales; Poaceae
Description: partial small subunit ribosomal RNA
Source: RNAcentral
AUGAAAUUAAAUCUUUAUGUACUGACUCCUAAGCGAAUUAUUUGGGAUUGUGAAGUGAAAGAAAUCAUUUUAUCCACUAAUAGUGGCCAAAUUGGCGUAUUACCAAACCACGCCCCCAUUAACACAGCAGUAGAUAUGGGUCCUUUGAGAAUACGCCUCCUCAACGACCAAUGGUUAACAGCGGUUUUGUGGAGCGGUUUUGCGAGAAUAGUUAAUAAUGAGAUCAUCAUUUUAGGAAAUGAUGCGGAACUGGGUAGUGAUAUUGAUCCGGAAGAAGCUCAAAAGGCACUUGAAAUAGCCGAAGCUAACUUGAGUAAAGCUGAGGGUACGAAAGAUUUGGUUGAAGCAAAGCUCGCUCUCAGACGAGCUAGGAUACGAAUCGAGGCUGUCAAUUGGAUUCCCCCAUCCAAUUGA